GCCCCGCAGUGGCGCACACCAAAAUGCAAGUUUGGAGACGCACCCCUAAGGGUGCCGGGGCUUCUCCCGUUUUAAACGGGACGGGAGAAGC
RNAcentral lists this transfer RNA (91 nucleotides) under Cyrtodactylus interdigitalis. RNAcentral describes it as "tRNA-Cys". The record is from RNAcentral. Lineage: Eukaryota; Metazoa; Chordata; Lepidosauria; Squamata; Gekkonidae.